GAUGUAGCCAAGCGGUAAGGCGACGGUUUUUGGAGUCGUGUAUCGGAGGUUCGAUCCCUCCCAU
This 64-nucleotide transfer RNA is filed under the name Goniomonas pacifica. It matches the Rfam family "tRNA", at positions 5 to 66 of the family's 71-position model. Rfam says of the family: Transfer RNA (tRNA) molecules are approximately 80 nucleotides in length. Their secondary structure includes four short double-helical elements and three loops (D, anti-codon, and T loops). The record is from RNAcentral. Lineage: Eukaryota; Cryptophyceae; Goniomonadida; Goniomonadaceae.